ACGGGGCUCAGCCAUGAGCCGAAGCUUAGGAUGCACAUAGUGCAUGGUAGCAGAGCGUAGUGUGACAUAGUCUCAUGUCUCCUUAGUGUCUUCGGGCACAUUGGAGACGCGAGGCUUUCGAUGAAGCGGGCGCGUGAGCGAUCCCGUGGAGAGAUCACUAGCGAGAAUGAUGACAUGAGUAGCGACAAAGAGUGUGAGAGACACUCUCGCCGAAAGUCCAAGGGUUCCUGCUUAAAGCUAAUCUGAGCAGGGUAAGCCGGCCCCUAAGGCGAGGCCGAAAGGCGUAGCCGAUGGGAACUAGGUUAAUAUUCCUAGGCCAGGAGGAUGUGACGGAUUGUGAAGGUAGUUCAUCCUAUCGGAUUGAAUGGGCUGCUGAUCAGUCCCUGGAAAUAGCCCUCCAUGAGACCGUACCCUAAACCGACACAGGUGGACUGGUAGAGAAUACCAAGGCGCUUGAGAGAACGAUGUUGAAGGAACUCGGCAAAAUACCUCCGUAAGUUCGCGAGAAGGAGGCCCGGUUCCAAGGCAACUUGGAGCUGGGGGCACAAACCAGGGGGUGGCGACUGUUUAUUAAAAACACAGGGCUCUGCGAAGUCGCAAGACGACGUAUAGGGUCUGACGCCUGCCCGGUGCCUGAAGGUUAAAAGGAGGGGUGAGAGCUCCGAAUUGAAGCCCAGGUAAACGGCGGCCGUAACUAUAACGGUCCUAAGGUAGCGAAAUUCCUUGUCGGGUAAGUUCCGACCUGCACGAAUGGCGUAACGACUUCCCCGCUGUCUCCAACAUCGACUCAGCGAAAUUGAAUUGCCUGUCAAGAUGCAGGCUUCCCGCGGUUAGACGGAAAGACCCCGUGCACCUUUACUACAGCUUCGCACUGGUAUCAGGAUUGUGACGUGCAGGAUAGGUGGUAGGCAUCGAAGCGUGAACGCUAGUUCACGUGGAGCCUCCCUUGAGAUACCACCCUUCGCACUCUUGAUAUCUAACCGCGGUCCGUUAUCCGGAUCCGGGACCCUGCGUGGCGGGUAGUUUGACUGGGGCGGUCGCCUCCUAAAGCGUAACGGAGGCGCGCGAAGGUUGGCUCAGAGCGGUCGGAAAUCGCUCGUUGAGUGCAAUGGCAGAAGCCAGCCUGACUGCGAGACUGACAAGUCGAGCAGAGACGAAAGUCGGCCAUAGUGAUCCGGUGGUCCCAAGUGGGAGGGCCAUCGCUCAACGGAUAAAAGGUACGCCGGGGAUAACAGGCUGAUAC
This 1243-nucleotide ribosomal RNA is filed under the name bacterium EBAD47. Its description in RNAcentral is "bacterial LSU rRNA". It matches the Rfam family "Bacterial large subunit ribosomal RNA", at positions 1175 to 2488 of the family's 2925-position model. The record is from RNAcentral.